This 694-nucleotide long non-coding RNA is filed under the name Monodelphis domestica (gray short-tailed opossum). RNAcentral's name for it is "lncRNA (ENSMODG00000034002.2)". The record is from RNAcentral. Lineage: Eukaryota; Metazoa; Chordata; Mammalia; Didelphimorphia; Didelphidae.
AUGCACUGGGCUAAACGGCUCAAAGGACCAGAGGAAGAAAAGAGGCAGGCGGCGGGACUGAGUGCCCCGGGUCUAGCUGCACCAUGGACAGAGACUCUGCAAAAGACAAACCCAGCCCACACCCCUCUAGAGGGCGGCUGCAGCUAUAGCCAGCAACACCCCUGCCCCAGAGAAAUGGAGAAGGGGCGGGAGGAUGCCCGGACUACUCAGUACCGGGGCUCCCCAGCCCCCUCCGAGUCUGGUAUUCCCGGAGGAGACAGCUCCUCUCUGCCCCAAUCCUUAAAGACCAUUAAGAGUCUCCUGGCUUGGCUGCUAGAGGAUCCAGCGCCGGAGAGUCGGAGUACAAGCCUCCUGGGAGGCGGCAGAUGCACGCUAUCUAUUCCCAGGAUGGGAUUAGAGGGAAAGAUGGACAAGAGAAAUUGCCCGAAGAACCAGAACAAGACAAACAAAUACAAAUGAAGCAAAGUAGAAGAGGGCUAGAAAGCAGAAAAUGGGCCGCCAGCAGCGCUAGCAGCGGCAGCAGGGUCCGCGGCGCUCCUGCUAUCCGGCACAUGGAGGCGAAGAGGGGCCGAGGAGGAGCCGGAGGCGGCGGCAGCAGGAGCGGCAGCGGUAGCGGCGGCAGCAGCAGCAGCAGCGGAGAGAGAGACGACUCCAGGCAGUUUUCCACACACACAUACACACACACACACGCAAC